GACGAACGCUGGCGGCGUGCCUAAUACAUGCAAGUCGAACGAGAGCGACCGGUGCUUGCACUGGUCAAUCUAGUGGCGAACGGGUGAGUAACACGUGGGUAACCUGCCCAUCAGAGGGGGAUAACAUUCGGAAACGGAUGCUAAAACCGCAUAGGUCUUCGAACCGCAUGGUUUGAAGAGGAAAAGAGGCGCAAGCUUCUGCUGAUGGAUGGACCCGCGGUGCAUUAGCUAGUUGGUGAGGUAACGGCUCACCAAGGCCGUGAUGCAUAGCCGACCUGAGAGGGUGAUCGGCCACAUUGGGACUGAGACACGGCCCAAACUCCUACGGGAGGCAGCAGUAGGGAAUCUUCCGCAAUGGACGCAAGUCUGACGGAGCAACGCCGCGUGAGUGAAGAAGGUUUUCGGAUCGUAAAACUCUGUUGUUAGAGAAGAACAAGUGCUAGAGUAACUGUUAGCGCCUUGACGGUAUCUAACCAGAAAGCCACGGCUAACUACGUGCCAGCAGCCGCGGUAAUACGUAGGUGGCAAGCGUUGUCCGGAUUUAUUGGGCGUAAAGCGAGCGCAGGCGGUUCCUUAAGUCUGAUGUGAAAGCCCCCGGCUCAACCGGGGAGGGUCAUUGGAAACUGGGGAACUUGAGUGCAGAAGAGGAGAGUGGAAUUCCAUGUGUAGCGGUGAAAUGCGUAGAUAUAUGGAGGAACACCAGUGGCGAAGGCGACUCUCUGGUCUGUAACUGACGCUGAGGUCCGAAAGCGUGGGUAGCAUACAGG
This 767-nucleotide ribosomal RNA is filed under the name uncultured Granulicatella sp. Its description in RNAcentral is "bacterial SSU rRNA". It matches the Rfam family "Bacterial small subunit ribosomal RNA", at positions 28 to 776 of the family's 1533-position model. Lineage: Bacteria; Bacillati; Bacillota; Bacilli; Lactobacillales; Carnobacteriaceae. The record is from RNAcentral.